Pelobates cultripes (western spadefoot toad) is the source of this 253-nucleotide non-coding RNA. NCBI's taxonomy places the organism in Eukaryota, Metazoa, Chordata, Amphibia, Anura, Pelobatidae. The record is from the annotation of a GenBank genome assembly.
GUCUGACUGUGUGGGCCACUGGCAGUAGCUAUUAAGCCUGAUGAUUAGAGGUAUUUUAUGGGAUGUCACCAUGACAGGUGGAAACCUUAAUUUAUUUUAAACAUAGAGUGUACAAAUUAAGAAUGCACUUUAUCCAGCCCCUCUUCAGCUGAGCCAUUAGUAAGACAUGCCUGGCCAUCAAUAUGCACCCUUACUAUUCCUGUACAGUCCAUGCCCUUAUCGAAAUGGGAAAUGCCUAAAUCUUAGAUAUGAC